This 253-nucleotide ribosomal RNA is filed under the name uncultured bacterium. RNAcentral describes it as "partial 16S ribosomal RNA". It matches the Rfam family "Bacterial small subunit ribosomal RNA", at positions 524 to 776 of the family's 1533-position model. The record is from RNAcentral.
UACGGAGGGGGCUAGCGUUGUUCGGAAUUACUGGGCGUAAAGCGUGCGCAGGCGGUUUCUUAAGUCAGAUGUGAAAGCCCCGGGCUUAACCUGGGAACUGCGUUUGAAACUGGGAGACUAGAGUGUGGCAGAGGGGGGUGGAAUUCCACGUGUAGCAGUGAAAUGCGUAGAUAUGUGGAGGAACACCGAUGGCGAAGGCAGCCCCCUGGGUUAACACUGACGCUCAUGCACGAAAGCGUGGGGAGCAAACAGG